RNAcentral lists this ribosomal RNA (251 nucleotides) under uncultured prokaryote. RNAcentral describes it as "partial 16S rRNA". It matches the Rfam family "Bacterial small subunit ribosomal RNA", at positions 525 to 775 of the family's 1533-position model. The record is from RNAcentral.
GCGGAGGGUGCAAGCGUUAAUCGGAAUUACUGGGCGUAAAGCACACGCAGGCGGUUUGUUAAGUCAGAUGUGAAAUCCCCGGGCUCAACCUGGGAACUGCAUCUGAUACUGGCAAGCUUGAGUCUCGUAGAGGGGGGUAGAAUUCCAGGUGUGGCGGGGAAAUGCGUAAGAAUCUGAAGGAUUACCGUUGGCGAAGGCGCCCCCCUGGACGAAGACUGACGCUCAGGUGCGAAAGCGUGGGGAGCAAACAG